Molecule: ribosomal RNA, 106 nt
Filed under: Staphylococcus aureus
Lineage: Bacteria; Bacillati; Bacillota; Bacilli; Caryophanales; Staphylococcaceae
Description: partial 23S ribosomal RNA
Rfam family: Bacterial large subunit ribosomal RNA
Source: RNAcentral
UCGGUUAUAAGAUCCCUCAAAGAUGAUGAGGUUAAUAGGUUCGAGGUGGAAGCAUGGUGACAUGUGGAGCUGACGAAUACUAAUCGAUCGAAGACUUAAUCAAAUU